UACAGAGGGUGCAAGCGUUAAUCGGAAUUACUGGGCGUAAAGGGCGCGUAGGCGGAUGGCACAGUCAGAUGUGAAAUUCCCGGGCUUAACCUGGGGGCUGCAUUUGAUACGUGUUGUCUUGAGUUCGGAAGAGGGUCGUGGAAUUCCCAGUGUAGAGGUGAAAUUCGUAGAUAUUGGGAAGAACACCGGUGGCGAAGGCGGCGACCUGGUCCGACACUGACGCUGAGGCGCGAAAGCGUGGGGAGCAAACAGG
RNAcentral lists this ribosomal RNA (253 nucleotides) under uncultured bacterium. RNAcentral describes it as "partial 16S ribosomal RNA". It matches the Rfam family "Bacterial small subunit ribosomal RNA", at positions 524 to 776 of the family's 1533-position model. The record is from RNAcentral.